AGAACGAACGCUGGCGGCAUGCCUAAUACAUGCAAGUUGAACGAACACUUCGGUGUUAGUGGCGCACGGGUGCGUAACGCGUGGGAAUCUGCCCUUGGGUUCGGAAUAACAGUUGGAAACGACUGCUAAUACCGGAUGAUAUCGAAAGAUCAAAGAUUUAUCGCCCAGGGAUGAGCCCGCGUAGGAUUAGCUAGUUGGUAGAGGUAAAGGCUCACCGAAGGCGACGAUCCUUAGCUGGUCUGAGAGGAUGAUCAGCCACACUGGGACUGAGACACGGCCCAGACUCCUACGGGAGCAGCAAGUAGGGAAUAGUUAGGACAGUGGGCGCAACGCUGAUCCAGCAAG
Molecule: ribosomal RNA, 345 nt
Filed under: uncultured soil bacterium
Lineage: Bacteria
Description: bacterial SSU rRNA
Rfam family: Bacterial small subunit ribosomal RNA
Source: RNAcentral